GCAUAUAUUUCAGAAAUAUAUUAAACUAUUAUCUCACAGAGUAGUAUUUGUUAUAAAUUGAUUUGCAUCCUCCAUUUUCUUCCCUCUAUUGUUUUACUUAGAAGGAGAAAGUUCCUAGAGAUGGGUAAUUAAAAGCAAGUUUUGCUGUUGGUUCUGGAAACAAAGUUGAGGAAAUUAUAUUUUGACUGGAGAGCAUGGUAAUGGAGACCAGUGCAAAGAAAGGCACUAAUAGUUCCUGGUAAUAGCUCCCAACAGCUUAAGCUUCUCUACCUGAGAUUGAGAAGAGGAUCUGUCCAGUGCUCUUUAGCAACAGCGUGGCAGCUGAAAUGACUCUUGUCAGUGUAGCUGAUGUCAGGAAGUAAUCUCAGCCUCUAACUGUAUACUAAGACUGUGCCACCCCCUUACAGGCUUUUUCAUAUUAUUUUAAUGCCAUUGUUAGUUUUUUACAUUUAUGUAGCCCUCAUACUUUUCAAAUGUUGACUAAAUGUUACCCUAGCUCUGUUUGUUAUUACUUAUCCAGACAAUACAUAUUUAGUUCUUUUAAUCUUUUCCCAUAAAUACAUCAUUCCAUUCCUUCAAUCAUUUUGUGCUAUCCCCUGUACUCAGUUCGAUUUCUCAACACGUCUCAAGUGUCGAAAAGCCUGAUGCUGUAGUUUAGCUUAACCAGAAUCAAGGGUGGUGGGAGCUAUUUCUCUAUAUUCUCUUCUGCCCCAACAUAAUGGAUGUUUGUAUUCAGUUCAGAAUAGCAUCAGCCCCUUUGGCAGCCGUAUCACACUGAAAACUGAUAUCUAAUUUGUCCUCUGUUAUUAGGUCCAGUCCAUGAUUUUCUUUUCUGAGGAGAUGUUCAUUUGUGCUGGAUAUUAGAUUCCAGCUAUAAGUGAUAUCAUAUGGUAUUUGUCUUUGUCUUUCUUUGUCUUUUGUCAUUUCACUCAGUAUGAGAUUCUCUAGUUCCAUCCAUGUUGCUGCAAAUGGCAUUAUGUCAUUCUUUUUUAUGGCUGAGUAGUAUUCCAUUGUGUCUAUAUACCACCUCUUCUGAAUCCAAUCAUCUGUCGAUGGACAUUUGGGUUGUUUCCAUCUCCUGGCUAUUGUGAAUAGUGCUGCAGUGAACAUGCGGGUGCACGUGUCUCUUUUAAGUAGAGUUUUGUCUGGAUAGAUGCCCAAGAGUGGGAUUGCGGGAUCAUAUGGAAAGAACAUUUGAUUUAUAUGCAAAAAUUCAGGAAGCCAAGAAAACAUAAAUCAUCAUACAAAUCAGGUCUAGCAUCUUAGGGCAGCUGUCUAUUUAUGAUGUCAUCUUCUUCUCAUCCUCCAUGUGAUAGUUUUUUCUCCAUGUGAGCAUGAUUUUGUCAGCAGUCCUCUUUAUAGGACCAGCCCAGUGCAGGGGCCUAGUUUAGCAUUAUGGUCUGAAAAUCAGGAACUUAUAUUGUUCAAAAGUUCUUUCUAUAAUCCUUUCUGUCUGUAAAAAGGAAACAGUUUUGCAAAGGCAUCAGAGUAAAGCCAUUAACUACCUAUAAUGACAAAAGACUUAAGAAGGCAAAUUUAAGAUCUGAUUACAAUGCAUUUGACAAAGAAAUUUCGUUACUGUUGAGACAUCAUACUGUAUAAUCUGAGGCUUAUCACUCAUUUAAUAGUGCUGUCCUUGUAUUUUCCUAGUUAAUUUAACUCUCCCCCUCUCUUCCCUGAUUAGCAGCUAUUUAGACCUGUCAUAUGGAAUUCAGGGAAGGUCAAGGAGGCUGAAUGAGGCCUAUUUCCUGAACAAGAAAUGGGGGACACAGAAAGGCUUGUCCCCAGGAGCCUCACAGGGCCCUGCUUGCUUACAUUCCCCCCUUUUCUUUGAUACUUCUCAAUCUUGAGGAGACCAGGUGUUUAGCCAGAAAGGGAAUGUUUUGGGUAGAGAUGUUAAUCAACUUGGCAAAGGCACUUGGUUUUAUGGGGACUUAGGUGAGUCCCUGCUUCUGUUUUAUGUUUCCCCAAGUCUUCCGGGGAAUGGGGCGACUACCUGCUCUGGCUACUUCCUGCUAAAAUGUGGUGCAGUCCUACCUCAAUUUGGGAAACGGACACCAAGUUAAAAAUAUUCCCGAGUUUCAAGUCCUGGAUCUGAGUCUUAGAUGAUUACGAUCUCAGUCCCUUGACGAUUCUGGUGCAACAGACCCAAUUGGAAGUAGGAGGAACAACUAGAACUUUAAUAGACAAUGUGCACAUUCCCUGAAGAAUUUAGGAGUAUAAGUCUGAAUUCUGACCAGAAUUUGAAUUUGGGGGAGACUCAUUGUAGCCAGGUAUCCAGUUGUCUACUUUUAUCUAAGUAGGUUUUUAACUUAAGAUGUGGUAUUGACAUAUACACAACAGGAGCUAUUGGCCAUUACAUAUCUCCCCCGCCCCCACUUUUUUUCUUGUCUGAUCUAAAGCAAUUUCAUUGUCUAAAAAUUUAAUAGUUACAAGAGGAUAUCUUGAAGCCAUAAUGUUGCAGCUACUAGCUGCCAACAGAUACUGCUUUAAGAAUAGCUAGUGGCAUCCCAAGUCUGACACAGCUCAGAAAAUUCAAGUUCUCAGCAAUACAAGGACUUGUCUGAAAUCAUGAUCACAAUGCCAUCUAGCAUUACUUUGGAUAUCUGAACCAUAGCUACUCCAUUUUGACUUUUAAUAGUAUUUUUCUUAAUGGCCAAGGUAGAUAUCACUGUUAAUGAUUUUAGUGCUUUUCUGGUUAUGAGGAGAUAGGCUCAUAAAAUCUUCUCCUGAAAAUAUCUAACUCUCUGAAGACCUGCUCUUCCAGUUUUCCCAGAGCACAGAGCGCUUUACUCCUGGUCUCCACCCUGAACUCUGCUCAGGGGUUGCUGCAGGUUGGCAGCUGGAGUGGCUUAUGUUUUACUUCAUGUGGAGGCUGAUGGCAAGUCUCAAACUUCACAGUUCACACUGUGGUUCAGUAUCUAAGAACUCAGAAUGAAUGGAUUAUGACUGCUGUUAUUCAUGAAAAGUUUUAUUAACUACAUUGUCCAUAAAUGUCUAUACUGAUCUGGCACUGUAAUCUAAACCUGUCAUAUUUCUGAGGUCUGAGCUCAGGUAAAAACUAAGAUUGAUAAUUUGUGGACUAUCUGUAUCUGCUUAAUUCCAAAGACAAAACUCAAGAUUUAGAAAGACCUUUAUAGACUGACUUAGCACAGAGACAGAAUUACAUGGGAAAGCCUGCUUCAGCUCAGAACUGAGAAUGUAGUGGUAAAAAGCCCCUUGUCACAACUUUAGUAGAUAAAUUGAAUACAUCAGUUGAAACCUAUAAUUUGACUCACUUAUGACAAUUACAAAAAAUAGGGAAAGGCUUGGAAUGUGAGCCAUGGUGCCAACUUAUUUAUCAUUACCUUCAUUUGUUCAUUUGUUCAUUAAUUCAUUCAUUCACUCAGAUGAUCACUCAUUCUAUAAAUAACAGUUAAAUGCCUAACCGAUUCAAAGGAUUAGGGAAUGUUGUGAGUGCCAAGGACAGAACUGUUAUCACACAUCCUAUCCUUGCACUUGUGGAGCUUAUAGAUCAGUAGAGAAAGACAGAUAAAAGCUGAAACAAAGGCUAAAUGAGAUUAUUUCAGAUGGCAAAAUUCCUAUGAAGAAAGAGAAUCAGAUGGCAUUAUGGAGAUUCGGUGCUUAGAUAAGAUAAGGAGGAUAGACUGCAUAUGUGGGUGAUCUGGGAGGGUCUCUUUGAAAGGUAUCAUUUGAGACCCAGGAUGAGAAGCCAAACUACAUCAACGUACAUAAAGCAGAAGACAAAGAAUAAUUUAUUUCAGAAUAUACAGACCAGAGAUUAAAGAAUAAUUUGCUAACCUGGCAAAGUCCUUAAGGUUUUUUAAGAGGGAAAGCAUUUCUCUCUCUUUUUCUAACUCUAUCUCUCAUAAAUGGAAAUUGCCAACUCUUCCUAUGUGUCGAUGAAAAUCAUAUGACUCUGUCUUCCGGAGUUGUAAUGUUUCUUAAGCACAACAACAAAAACAAAACAAGUCUGGAAUUUUGUAGCCCGUAAAAGACUAUCUGGAGUUCUGUCGUGACUCAGCAGUUAACAAACCCGACUAGCAUCCGUAAGGAUGUGGGUUUGAUCCCUGGCCUCACUCAGUGGGUUAAGGAUCCAGUGUUGUCAUGAGCUGGGUGUAGGUGGCAGAUGUGGCUUGUAUCCAGCAUUGCUAUGACUGUGGCAUAGGCUGGUGGCUGCAGCUCCAGUUCAGUCGAACCCUAGCCUGGGAGCUUCCAUAUGCUGUGAGUGCAGCACUACAAAAAGACCAAAAAAAAAAGCUAUCAAAGUUCAAAGAAUUGUCUUUAUGUUUAAUACAGUUCUAUGUGCAUUGUAGUGGCUUAAUAAAGAAUAGCUAACUUAAGGAAUGGAAUUUUGUUUAAUGAUGUUACUUACUAAAUACAUACUUAUUUGUUAAAGAAUGAAAUUGAGUUUAAUGAACUUAUAGACCAGUAGUCUUUCAAAGAUACCAGAAUACUUUAUUAUUCAUUCCACAAGUAACCUCAUUCACUUGCCUAAGUCAAGUAAAAGAGUAUUAAUUCUGAGAGUAGUACCCUGAAAUGGUUCAUGGUGUUGAUUCAUAGAUGAGAUUUAACUUAAAGCAACACCUUUGUCUCGAUCACUCAAAUGACACUUAUGUAAAUAACAAUAUAAGGGAGAACAGACUUUUUAUAUAGGUUAUUUUUUUCAAUUAGAUCGUAAAAUACAUUAUGAUAGGAGCCAAUUUUUAUGCCUCUUUAGAACCCUAAUUCUUAUUAGCAUAUAUGAAAAUGAUGGGUGCUCACUAAUCUCGAAGGCUGUGCAGUGAACUGGAAAAAGGAUGGUCUUUAAAGCUAGACAGACUGAUUUGAAUCCUGGCUCUGCAAAUUUCCAGCCUGUGGGCUUGACUAAAUGGUAUGUUAGCUGAGCCUCACUUUUUUCACCUAUAGAAUGGAGGUCCCACUACCUUUCAAGGUGAAUUUGGAGGUUAAUGAUGCUUUAGGCAUGAUAACUAUAGGAUAACUAUUGAUAUUUAAAAACAAGAAGAGAAAUAGGCAGACUGUUGCUAUUAAGUUCUGUGAGGUCAGAAAUGGGAGCUGUAUCUUUUGGUAUCCACAAUUCCUGACCCAGGAGUGGCACAAAACAAGUACUUGCUGAAUGAGUGAAUAAAUGAAUGUUAUGUUUGAUGAUUUGAGUUGGGUAGAAUGGUGAGAAAUGUUGUGAUUUAUACCCAAUGAUAGACAUAAAAUAGAAGAAUUUAAGGACCACAUUAGAUAUACCAGUACCUUCAAAUUUAUUAUUGCCUUUAGGAGGAAUACUCUUACACUAUUUCUGGAAAGAAAACUGUCCCUUUUGUUGUUAAAAACAACAACAAACCUUCAGAAAGAACUAUUAUCAGUUAUGUCUAGUUUCCAAUAGCAAUUUUCUACAAGACAAAAGUAUAAAAAUUAAUCAAAUAAACAAUACCAAAACACCUGCUGUAAUGUUAAUUGCAGGAGUUCAGUUUUCCUGGCCUUUACAAGAAUCAGGUGACCUCAGUGAAGGUAAAUCAUUAUUGGUUGAACUGUGGUUGUGUUCUGUGAAAAAAAACAAUGUCUCAGCCCAAAGGCCAUGUAAUGAUUCUUUGAACAAUUGACCCUAGGAAGAAGGGUUAAGAUGGUUUUGGAUCUUCAGUUCUUUAACUUCACAUGCAGUAAGUGGUGGAGUCAAAGGAGAUAGUUGAAUUGUCUCUGUACUCAGAAAGCAGGACUGUGUGUUCUCAGGAUUUCUGAGAGCUUUGAUCAGUCUUCAAGCGAGUCUGCAUACCUGCUGGAAGAGUUAGUGUCAACUUAAAGAGAUGGUGGAAUAGACCUUAAGUGGAAAAAUAUUCUGCUUUUCUAGGGACGUAACAGUCUGAGAUAAACAGCCCUGUCCUUUACUGAUAGUAGAAAUAAGGAAAGUUAUCAAGGAGGAAGAGACUCUAGGUAGGUACAGAAAUAUCUGAAUCAGAUGAUCUAAGAAAAAUUGUGGUGGAGGAGUUCCCUUUGUAGCACAGUGGAAAUGAAUGAGACUAGGUAACCAUGAGGUGGUGGGUUCGAUCCCUGGCCUUGCUCAAUGGGCUAAGGAUCCAGUGUUGCAGUGAUGUAUGGUGUAGGUCGCAGAUGUGGCUUGGAUACUACGUUGCUGUGGCUGUGGCAUAGGAUGGCAGCUACAGCUCCAAUUCAACCCCUAGCCUGGCAACCUGCAUAUGCCAUGGGUGCAGCCCUAAAAAAAAGCAAA
This 6217-nucleotide long non-coding RNA is filed under the name Sus scrofa (pig). Its description in RNAcentral is "lncRNA (ENSSSCG00055030957.1)". The record is from RNAcentral. Lineage: Eukaryota; Metazoa; Chordata; Mammalia; Artiodactyla; Suidae.